RNAcentral lists this ribosomal RNA (484 nucleotides) under uncultured bacterium. RNAcentral describes it as "partial 16S ribosomal RNA". It matches the Rfam family "Bacterial small subunit ribosomal RNA", at positions 28 to 523 of the family's 1533-position model. The record is from RNAcentral.
GAUGAACGCUGGCGGCGUGCUUAACAUAUGCAAGUCGAACGGUGAACACGGAGCUUGCUCUGUGGGAUCAGUGGCGAACGGGUGAGUAACACGUGAGCAACCGCCCCUGACUCUGGGAUAAGCGCUGGAAACGGCGUCUAAUACUGGAUACGAGUAGCGGCCGCAUGGUCAGUUACUGGAAAGAUUUUUUGGUUGGGGAUGUGCUCGCGGCCUAUCAGCUUGUUGGUGAGGUAAUGGCUCACCAAGGCGUCGACGGGUAGCCGGCCUGAGAGGGUGACCGGCCACACUGGGACUGAGACACGGCCCAGACUCCUACGGGAGGCAGCAGUGGGGAAUAUUGCACAAUGGGCGAAAGCCUGAUGCAGCAACGCCGCGUGAGGGAUGACGGCCUUCGGGUUGUAAACCUCUUUUAGCAGGGAAGAAGCGAAAGUGACGGUACCUGCAGAAAAAGCGCCGGCUAACUACGUGCCAGCCGCCGCGGUAA